This 267-nucleotide ribosomal RNA is filed under the name uncultured bacterium. RNAcentral describes it as "partial 16S ribosomal RNA". It matches the Rfam family "Bacterial small subunit ribosomal RNA", at positions 1234 to 1500 of the family's 1533-position model. The record is from RNAcentral.
CGUAAACAAAGAGACGCAAGGCGCGAGCCGGAGCAAACCUCNUAAAAGAGUCCCAGUUCAGACUGCAGGCUGCAACCCGCCUGCACGAAGUUGGAAUUGCUAGUAAUCGCGGAUCAGCAUGCCGCGGUGAAUACGUUCCCGGGCUUUGUACACACCGCCCGUCAAACCACGGAAGUUGGGGGCGCCCGAAGCCACUUAGCUAACCCUUUUGGGAAGCGAGUGUCGAAGGUGAAAUCAAUAACUGGGGUGAAGUCGUAACAAGGUACC